GGAUUUAGUUCUUUGACCUCAAUUCUGUGU
Molecule: non-coding RNA, 30 nt
Filed under: Rattus norvegicus (Norway rat)
Lineage: Eukaryota; Metazoa; Chordata; Mammalia; Rodentia; Muridae
Source: RNAcentral